Molecule: ribosomal RNA, 253 nt
Filed under: uncultured bacterium
Lineage: Bacteria
Description: partial 16S ribosomal RNA
Rfam family: Bacterial small subunit ribosomal RNA
Source: RNAcentral
UACGUAGGCAGCGAGCGUUGUUCGGAGUUACUGGGCGUAAAGGGUGUGUAGGCGGUUUUCUAAGUUUGGUGUGAAAUCUCCCGGCUCAACCGGGAGGGUGCGCCGAAAACUGGGAGACUAGAGUGCGGGAUGGGAGAGUAGAGUUCCUGGUGUAGCGGUGAAAUGCGUAGAUAUCAGGAGGAAUACCGGUGGGGUAGACGGCUCUCUGGACCGCCACUGACGCUGAGACACGAAAGCGUGGGUAGCAAACAGG